RNAcentral lists this transfer RNA (74 nucleotides) under Leucobacter rhizosphaerae. RNAcentral's name for it is "Leucobacter sp. H25R-14 tRNA-OTHER". The record is from RNAcentral. Lineage: Bacteria; Bacillati; Actinomycetota; Actinomycetes; Micrococcales; Microbacteriaceae.
GGCGGUGCAUUGGUGGCGCGUGACCUAGGCGAAAGACCGGGCGCGCGUUGCGGGUUCGAAUCCCGUCACCGCCA